GUAAGGAGCCGGAUGAUUGCCUCAGCAGGUGUGAAGCGUGUGCUUUAGUUUCGUGGGAGGCCUGGCAUCCCCGAGAGGGAGGGGAAAGGUAACCACUCCUUUGUGGAGGUCGCCAGGGUCAUUGUCGUGGAUUUGCACAGUCGGCUGGGCGGUGCAAUGGCGGAAAGAAAAGGAACAGCCAAAGUGGACUUUUUGAAGAAGAUUGAGAAAGAAAUCCAACAGAAAUGGGAUACUGAGAGAGUGUUUGAGGUCAAUGCAUCUAAUUUAGAGAAACAGACCAGCAAGGGCAAGUAUUUUGUAACCUUCCCAUAUCCAUAUAUGAAUGGACGCCUUCAUUUGGGACACACGUUUUCUUUAUCCAAAUGUGAGUUUGCUGUAGGGUACCAGCGAUUGAAAGGAAAAUGUUGUCUGUUUCCCUUUGGCCUGCACUGUACUGGAAUGCCUAUUAAGAGUAAAGCGGCUGCUAAAGCUGGAUCUUCUAAAUACCAGUGGGGCAUUAUGAAAUCCCUUGGUCUUUCUGAUGAAGAGAUAGUAAAAUUUUCUGAAGCAGAACAUUGGCUUGAUUAUUUCCCGCCACUGGCUAUUCAGGAUUUAAAAAGAAUGGGUUUGAAGGUAGACUGGCGUCGUUCCUUCAUCACCACUGAUGUUAAUCCUUACUAUGAUUCAUUUGUCAGAUGGCAAUUUUUAACAUUAAGAGAAAGAAACAAAAUUAAAUUUGGGAAGCGGUAUACCAUUUAUUCUCCAAAAGAUGGACAGCCUUGCAUGGAUCAUGAUAGACAAACUGGAGAGGGUGUUGGACCUCAGGAAUAUACUUUACUCAAAUUGAAGGUGCUUGAGCCAUAUCCGUCUAAAUUAAGUGGCCUGAAAGGUAAAAAUAUUUUCUUGGUGGCUGCUACUCUUAGACCUGAGACCAUGUUUGGGCAGACAAAUUGUUGGGUUCGUCCUGAUAUGAAGUACAUUGGAUUUGAGACGGUGAAUGGUGAUAUAUUCAUCUGUACCCAAAAAGCAGCCAGGAAUAUGUCAUACCAGGGCUUUACCAAAGACAAUGGCGUGGUGCCUGUUGUUAAGGAAUUAAUGGGGGAGGUAAGU
This 1089-nucleotide small RNA is filed under the name Pan troglodytes (chimpanzee). Its description in RNAcentral is "processed transcript". Lineage: Eukaryota; Metazoa; Chordata; Mammalia; Primates; Hominidae. The record is from RNAcentral.